RNAcentral lists this transfer RNA (18 nucleotides) under Anolis cybotes (large-headed anole). RNAcentral describes it as "partial tRNA-Asx". The record is from RNAcentral. Lineage: Eukaryota; Metazoa; Chordata; Lepidosauria; Squamata; Anolidae.
CUGAAUAGGCGGGCCUCG